This 497-nucleotide ribosomal RNA is filed under the name uncultured bacterium. RNAcentral describes it as "partial 16S ribosomal RNA". It matches the Rfam family "Bacterial small subunit ribosomal RNA", at positions 28 to 507 of the family's 1533-position model. The record is from RNAcentral.
GAUGAACGCUGGCGGCGUGCCUAAUACAUGCAAGUCGAGCGAACGGACGAGAAGCUUGCUUCUCUGAUGUUAGCGGCGGACGGGUGAGUAACACGUGGAUAACCUACCUAUAAGACUGGGAUAACUUCGGGAAACCGGAUCUAAUACCGGAUAAUAUUUUGAACCGCAUGGUUCAACAGUGCAAGACGGUCUUGCUGUCACUUAUAGAUGGAUCCGCGCUGCAUUAGCUAGUUGGUAAGGUAACGGCGUACCAAGGCAACGAUGCAUAGCCGACCUGAGAGGGUGAUCGGCCACACUGGAACUGAGACACGGUCCAGACUCCUACGGGAGGCAGCAGUAGGGAAUCUUCCGCAAUGGGCGAAAGCCUGACGGAGCAACGCCGCGUGAGUGAUGAAGGUCUUCGGAUCGUAAAACUCUGUUAUUAGGGAAGAACAUAUGUGUAAGUAACUGUGCACAUCUUGACGGUACCUAAUCAGAAAGCCACGGCUAACUACGUG